GGGUUGUGAGGUUAAGCGACUAAGCGUACACGGUGGAUGCCCUGGCAGUCAGAGGCGAUGAAGGACGUGCUAAUCUGCGAAAAGCGCCGGCGAGGUGAUAUGAACCUUUGACCCGGCGAUGUCCGAAUGGGGAAACCCAGUGUGUUCCGACACACUAUCGUUAACUGAAUACAUAGGUUAACGAGGCGAACCGGGGGAACUGAAACAUCUAAGUACCCCGAGGAAAAGAAAUCAACCGAGAUUCCCCCAGUAGCGGCGAGCGAACGGGGAGCAGCCCAGAGUCUGAAUCAGCUUGUGUGUUAGUGGAAGCGUCUGGAAAGUCGCACGGUACAGGGUGACAGUCCCGUACACGAAAAUGCACAGGUUGUGAACUCGAAGAGUAGGGCGGGACACGUGGUAUCCUGUCUGAAUAUGGGGGGACCAUCCUCCAAGGCUAAAUACUCCUGACUGACCGAUAGUGAACCAGUACCGUGAGGGAAAGGCGAAAAGAACCCCGGCGAGGGGAGUGAAAAAGAACCUGAAACCGUGUACGUACAAGCAGUGGGAGCACCUUCGUGGUGUGACUGCGUACCUUUUGUAUAAUGGGUCAGCGACUUAUAUUCUGUAGCAAGGUUAACCGUAUAGGGGAGCCGAAGGGAAACCGAGUCUUAACUGGGCGUUAAGUUGCAGGGUAUAGACCCGAAACCCGGUGAUCUAGCCAUGGGCAGGUUGAAGGUUGGGUAACACUAACUGGAGGACCGAACCGACUAAUGUUGAAAAAUUAGCGGAUGACUUGUGGCUGGGGGUGAAAGGCCAAUCAAACCGGGAGAUAGCUGGUUCUCCCCGAAAGCUAUUUAGGUAGCGCCUCGUGAACUCAUCUUCGGGGGUAGAGCACUGUUUCGGCUAGGGGGCCAUCCCGGCUUACCAACCCGAUGCAAACUACGAAUACCGAAGAAUGUUAUCACGGGAGACACACGGCGGGUGCUAACGUCCGUCGUGAAGAGGGAAACAACCCAGACCGCCAGCUAAGGUCCCAAAGUCAUGGUUAAGUGGGAAACGAUGUGGGAAGGCACAGACAGCCAGGAUGUUGGCUUAGAAGCAGCCAUCAUUUAAAGAAAGCGUAAUAGCUCACUGGUCGAGUCGGCCUGCGCGGAAGAUGUAACGGGGCUAAACCAUGCACCGAAGCUGCGGCAGCGACGCUUAUGCGUUGUUGGGUAGGGGAGCGUUCUGUAAGCCGUUGAAGGUGUGCUGUGAGGCAUGCUGGAGGUAUCAGAAGUGCGAAUGCUGACAUAAGUAACGAUAAAGCGGGUGAAAAGCCCGCUCGCCGGAAGACCAAGGGUUCCUGUCCAACGUUAAUCGGGGCAGGGUGAGUCGACCCCUAAGGCGAGGCCGAAAGGCGUAGUCGAUGGGAAACAGGUUAAUAUUCCUGUACUUGGUGUUACUGCGAAGGGGGGACGGAGAAGGCUAUGUUAGCCGGGCGACGGUUGUCCCGGUUUAAGCAUGUAGGCGGAACGAUUAGGUAAAUCCGGUCGUUUAUUAACGCUGAGGUGUGAUGACGAGGCACUACGGUGCUGAAGUAACAAAUGCCCUGCUUCCAGGAAAAGCCUCUAAGCAUCAGGUAACAUCAAAUCGUACCCCAAACCGACACAGGUGGUCAGGUAGAGAAUACCAAGGCGCUUGAGAGAACUCGGGUGAAGGAACUAGGCAAAAUGGUGCCGUAACUUCGGGAGAAGGCACGCUGAUAUGUAGGUGAAGCCCCUGCGGGUGGAGCUGAAAUCAGUCGAAGAUACCAGCUGGCUGCAACUGUUUAUUAAAAACACAGCACUGUGCAAACACGAAAGUGGACGUAUACGGUGUGACGCCUGCCCGGUGCCGGAAGGUUAAUUGAUGGGGUUAGCGGUAACGCGAAGCUCUUGAUCGAAGCCCCGGUAAACGGCGGCCGUAACUAUAACGGUCCUAAGGUAGCGAAAUUCCUUGUCGGGUAAGUUCCGACCUGCACGAAUGGCGUAAUGAUGGCCAGGCUGUCUCCACCCGAGACUCAGUGAAAUUGAACUCGCUGUGAAGAUGCAGUGUACCCGCGGCAAGACGGAAAGACCCCGUGAACCUUUACUAUAGCUUGACACUGAACACUGGUCCUUGAUGUGUAGGAUAGGUGGGAGGCUUUGAAGUGUGGACGCCAGUCUGCAUGGAGCCGUCCUUGAAAUACCACCCUUUAAUGGCUGGUGUUCUAACGUAGACCCGUGAUCCGGGUUGCGGACAGUGUCUGGUGGGUAGUUUGACUGGGGCGGUCUCCUCCCAAAGAGUAACGGAGGAGCACGAAGGUUAGCUAAUCCUGGUCGGACAUCAGGAGGUUAGUGCAAUGGCAUAAGCUAGCUUGACUGCGAGAGUGACGGCUCGAGCAGGUGCGAAAGCAGGUCAUAGUGAUCCGGUGGUUCUGAAUGGAAGGGCCAUCGCUCAACGGAUAAAAGGUACUCCGGGGAUAACAGGCUGAUACCGCCCAAGAGUUCAUAUCGACGGCGGUGUUUGGCACCUCGAUGUCGGCUCAUCACAUCCUGGGGCUGAAGUAGGUCCCAAGGGUAUGGCUGUUCGCCAUUUAAAGUGGUACGCGAGCUGGGUUUAGAACGUCGUGAGACAGUUCGGUCCCUAUCUGCCGUGGGCGCUGGAGAAUUGAGGGGGGCUGCUCCUAGUACGAGAGGACCGGAGUGGACGCAUCACUGGUGUUCGGGUUGUCAUGCCAAUGGCACUGCCCGGUAGCUAAAUGCGGAAAAGAUAAGUGCUGAAAGCAUCUAAGCACGAAACUUGCCCCGAGAUGAGUUCUCCCUGAGACUUUAAGUCUCCUGAAGGAACGUUGAAGACGACGACGUUGAUAGGUCGGGUGUGUAAGCGCAGCGAUGCGUUGAGCUAACCGAUACUAAUGAACCGUGAGGCUUAACCUUACAACGCCGAAG
Molecule: ribosomal RNA, 2927 nt
Filed under: Enterobacter roggenkampii
Lineage: Bacteria; Pseudomonadati; Pseudomonadota; Gammaproteobacteria; Enterobacterales; Enterobacteriaceae
Description: 23S ribosomal RNA
Rfam family: Bacterial large subunit ribosomal RNA
Source: RNAcentral